AGUGAACGCUGGCGGCAGGCCUAACACAUGCAAGUCGAACGGCAGCACGGCAGUAGCAAUACUGUGGGUGGCGAGUGGCGGACGGGUGAGGAAUACAUCGGGAUCUACCCUGUUGUGGGGGAUAACGUAGGGAAACUUACGCUAAUACCGCAUAAGAACUGAGGUUGAAAGCGGCGGACCGCAAGGCGUCGCGCGAUUGGAUGAACCGAUGUCCGAUUAGCUAGUUGCGGGUAAAGGCCCACCAAGGCGACGAUCGGUAGCUGGUCUGAGAGGACGACCAGCCACACUGGAACUGAGACACGGUCCAGACUCCUACGGGAGGCAGCAGUGGGGAAUAUUGGACAAUGGGCGCAAGCCUGAUCCAGCCAUGCCGCGUGAGUGAA
This 383-nucleotide ribosomal RNA is filed under the name uncultured bacterium. Its description in RNAcentral is "bacterial SSU rRNA". It matches the Rfam family "Bacterial small subunit ribosomal RNA", at positions 29 to 409 of the family's 1533-position model. The record is from RNAcentral.